GAUGAACGCUAGCGGGAGGCUUAACACAUGCAAGUCGAGGGGCAGCAUAGGGUAGCAAUACUCUGAUGGCGACCGGCAAACGGGUGAGUAACGCGUAUGCAACCUACCCUGUACAGGGGGAUAACUCGGAGAAAUUCGGACUAAUAUCCCGUAAUAAUAUCCGGAGGCAUCUUUGGAUAUUUAAAGUUCCGACGGUACGGGAUGGGCAUGCGUAACAUUAACUGGUUGGUAAGGUAACGGCUUACCAAGGCUAUGAUGUUUAGGGGUCCUGAGAGGGUGGUCCCCCACACUGGUACUGAGACACGGACCAGACUCCUACGGGAGGCAGCAGUGAGGAAUAUUGGUCAAUGGGCCAAGCCUGAACCAGCCAUCCCGCGUGCAGGAAGACGGCCCUAUGGGUUGUAAACUGCUUUUCCAGGGAGAGAAACUUACGCACGUGUUGCGUGACUGACGGUACCCUGGAAUAAGCAUCGGCUAACUCCGUG
RNAcentral lists this ribosomal RNA (485 nucleotides) under uncultured bacterium. RNAcentral describes it as "bacterial SSU rRNA". It matches the Rfam family "Bacterial small subunit ribosomal RNA", at positions 28 to 507 of the family's 1533-position model. The record is from RNAcentral.